RNAcentral lists this non-coding RNA (85 nucleotides) under Ricinus communis (castor bean). RNAcentral describes it as "Eukaryotic large subunit ribosomal RNA". It matches the Rfam family "Eukaryotic large subunit ribosomal RNA", at positions 3318 to 3401 of the family's 3401-position model. Lineage: Eukaryota; Viridiplantae; Streptophyta; Magnoliopsida; Malpighiales; Euphorbiaceae. The record is from Rfam by way of RNAcentral.
UAAUACGCGACGGGGUAUUGUAAGUGGCAGAGUGGCCUUGCUGCCACGAUCCACUGAGAUUCAGCCCUUCGUCGCUCCGAUUCGU